Long non-coding RNA from Globicephala melas (long-finned pilot whale), 2363 nucleotides. RefSeq lists it as uncharacterized. The record is from RefSeq and is a predicted model, not a curated record. NCBI's taxonomy places the organism in Eukaryota, Metazoa, Chordata, Mammalia, Artiodactyla, Delphinidae.
ACCUGGGGCCCAAGAGCUGGCAGUUUCCAUCCUCCGCAGAAGGGGGAAGGGGGGCGCUUAAGGUGGAGCUGGAAGAGUCCUCGGAUGUCUUCCCUCUCAGGGCCGCUGGCCCCGGAGGAUCCGGCGUCUUCCAGCUCGCGGGGACCCAGGUUGGAGCCUGCAUCAGUGCCUGCAGCCCCCCGCCCAAUGCAUCACUCGGGCCUCCGCCAGGGGCUCCCUUAACCCGGCGGCGGGAUCCCCUGGGAGACUGGCGCGCGAUGUGGGCGGCUGACCAGGAGGGGGAGGCAGAGACUUGGAGAGGGAGAGAGAGAGGCUGGAGGAGCCGGGAAGGCAGAGAAGAGAGAGCAGAGGUGAGGUCAGGGAACAGUGGAGGCUUGGGAAGGGAAGGGGAGCCUGAGGUGGAUACGGAGAGCCGUGGUGGAGGGAGAUGCAGGGUAGAGAUGAGAGGGCAGGCUGGGGCGGUUGGGGGGCUGCUGGGGGAGGUGGUGGCGGCAGGAGAGAGACAGAGAGACUUACAUACAUUGAAUGAAGGAGAUACAGAAACAAAUACACGCCGAGAAGAGAGAGAGAUACAGAGAGAGGGAGACCCCCAGAAUGACAGGGAAAAAAUACAAAAGGAGACAGAUGCAGAUGGAGGCAGAGAAAGAGAUACAGAGACCCACAGAGACACAGAUGUAGACACACAAACUUGGAGAUAGAAGCAGAGAGACCUAGACAGAGAGAGAGAGAGGAGAGAGAGAGUCCCACAUACCAGGUUAAAGAUGGAAGAGCAAGAUGCCAGGCAGGAGGUGUGUGGGGAGAGACAGAAACAGAAAAAGAGAUCUAAAGACAGAGCGACAGAGAAACACUCACCCAGAGCAAGGGGCAGAGAGAGGAGGAGACAGAGACCGAGGCGAACACACGUGCACAUCUAUAAAGAGACGCACUCAUGCAGAGAAAGAGGUAUGAACAGAGACCAACAGAUGGACAGAGACAGAGAGACCCAGAUAGGGGGAGAGAGUCCCAGAAACAGGUCAGCUGACAUGAAGGAUGAGACUAAAGAGAAUUCAGAAACACAGAGUCAUUCAGGGAUAGAGAAUUGGAGAUGGACUUCAAGGACCUGUGAUGGAGGGAGAUGGAGACACCCAGGAGAGUCAGAAAUCGAGAGACAGAGAAAACACGAGAAAGAAAGCCUGCAGGAUCCCAAUUCCCUGACCAGGGAUUGAACCCAGGCCCCAGCAGAAAGCGCCGAGUCCUAACCACUGGACCGCCAGGGAAUUCCUGACACCACCACUUCUUUAUUCUAUUCAUUGGAGGUGAAACAUGAUCAAGGAUACCAUGGGUUGCAGCUGAUGCAGUGACAAGACGGUGGAUGCCUCUCAGCCUGGGUGCUUCAAUGAUUGUGUGGAAAAUCGCCCCUUGCUGACUUGCAUGGGACAGGUACAUGAGAAAGAAAUCAACUCUCGUUGUGUCAAGCCAACAGGGCUAGCCUAACCUGACUAAUGGAAGUCCUUAAUGAAGUACGGGAACUAGCUUGCUGCUAUACAAGGCAGUGUGUUCCAGGAAGAGAGAAGGGCAAGUGCAAAGGCCCUGAAGCAGAGUGUUCUUGGUUUUUAAAGGAACAGGAAGGAGACCAGUGUAGCUGCAGAGGGGUGAGUGAGGGAAAGUUGUAAGAGGUGAGGUCAGGUAUGGGGUGGGAGUGGACCAAGUAAGGUUUUGUAGAGCAGGGCAAGGACUUUGGAUCUUAUUCUGAGAAAGAUGGGAAGACAAGAGUUUUGAGCAUAGUAACAGCACGGUCCACUGGCGCCUAGGUCAGGGGUCUGACUUAGGUUUUAAAUCAUUAUCCUAGCUUCUGUGUGAAGAAGACUCUAAGAGGGUAGUGGGGAGACCAGUAUGGGGACUACCUGUAAUCCAGGCAAAGAGUGGUGAUGGCUUGGAUCAAGGUGGUAGCAGUGGACAUGGUAAAAAAAAAGAAAAAAGGCUGAAUUAUGAACAUAUUUACUAUGUGUAACUGAAGAAACCUCAGGUAGAGUUGGAGUUGGGACAGGCCUGUAGGGGGCGCUCUCAGAUCCCAUCAGGAGACCUCAAUUAACAGGAGAGAAGUAAACCUACAUCUGUGAUAGGAAGGUACCUCUAGGUUACUAUCAGAAGGAAGAAGAAAACUUCUCUCCAUCCAGGGCAGCUCAGCCAGUCAGGCUGUAGCAGGCCAACCAAUGUGAAGCCUCCAUACUUUGGACUCCCAGUUUCCUCCAAUGGACUCUUUGGUUAUUGCAGCCCCUCCCAACUCUCCUCUUUUCCCUAUAAAAGCAUGUUCCCCUUGCUUGUUCUCUGUAUUUGCUUAUGGUCACCCAUUUUUGCGUAUCGCUGAUUGUGAUUUCUCUGCU